Molecule: ribosomal RNA, 1354 nt
Filed under: uncultured bacterium
Lineage: Bacteria
Description: bacterial SSU rRNA
Rfam family: Bacterial small subunit ribosomal RNA
Source: RNAcentral
GAAUCAACGCUGGCGGCGUGCCUAACACAUGCAAGUCGAACGAGAAAGUGGGGCUUGCUCCACGAGUAAAGUGGCAAACGGGUGAGUAACACGUGAACAACCUACCCUCGAGUGGGGAAUAACACCGCGAAAGCGGUGCUAAUACCGCAUAAUAUCCCGGGGUCGCAUGGUCCUGGGAUCAAAAGCGCAAGUUGCUUGAGGAGGGGUUCACGGCUGAUUAGCUAGUUGGUGAGGUAACGGCCCACCAAGGCAACGAUCAGUAGCCGGCCUGAGAGGGCGAACGGCCACACUGGAACUGAGACACGGUCCAGACUCCUACGGGAGACAGCAGUGGGGAAUUUUGCGCAAUGGGCGAAAGCCUGACGCAGCAACGCCGCGUGGAGGAUGAAGGCCUUCGGGUCGUAAACUCCUGUCAGUGGGGACGAAUGCCUCGCAAGAGGUUUGACUGUACCCGUUGAGGAAGCCACGGCUAACUCCGUGCCAGCAGCCGCGGUAAUACGGAGGUGGCAAGCGUUGUUCGGAAUUACUGGGCGUAAAGGGCGCGUAGGCGGCUUGGCAAGUCAGAUGUGAAAGCCCCGGGCUUAACUCGGGAAUUGCAUCUGAAACUGCUUUGCUUGAGUCCUGGAGGGGGUAGUGGAAUUCCCAGUGUAGCGGUGAAAUGCGUAGAUAUUGGGAGGAACACCUGCGGCGAAGGCGGCUACCUGGACAGUGACUGACGCUGAGGCGCGAAAGCUAGGGGAGCGAACGGGAUUAGAUACUCCGGUAGUCCUAGCCGUAAACGAUGAAUGCUAGGUGUAGGGGGUAUCGACCCCUUCUGUGCCGGAGUCAACACAAUAAGCAUUCCGCCUGGGGAGUACGGUCGCAAGAUUAAAACUCAAAGGAAUUGACGGGGGCCCGCACAAGCAGCGGAGCAUGUGGUUUAAUUCGAAGCAACGCGAAGAACCUUACCAGGUCUUGACAUCCAGUAAAACUUGUAGAGAUAUGAGGUGCCUUCGGGCAUACUGAGACAGGUGGUGCAUGGUUGUCGUCAGCUCGUGUCGUGAGAUGUUGGGUUAAGUCCCGCAACGAGCGCAACCCUUGCCGAUAGUUACUAACGGGUGAAGCCGAGGACUCUAUUGGGACCGCCGGGGACAACUCGGAGGAAGGUGGGGACGACGUCAAAUCAUCAUGCCCCUUAUGACCUGGGCUACACACGUGCUACAAUGGCCGAGACAGAGAGGAGCGAAGGCGCGAGCCGGAGCGGAUCUCAAAAAAGCGGUCACAGUUCGGAUUGUGGGCUGCAACCCGCCCGCAUGAAGCAGGAGUUGCUAGUAAUCGCGAAUCAGCAUGUCGCGGUGAAUACGUUCCCGGGCCU